CCAUUGGAUGAUGAUGAUAUUAUGUCCUUUCUCCUUGUAGGACUCAACAGUGAAUAUGAUUCAUUUUUAACCUCAAUUACAACCCGGGUGGAUCCAAUCUCCAUUGAUGAACUUUAUAGUCAUCUUCUUGCUUACGAAU
Molecule: small nucleolar RNA, 139 nt
Organism: Corylus avellana
Lineage: Eukaryota; Viridiplantae; Streptophyta; Magnoliopsida; Fagales; Betulaceae
Product: small nucleolar RNA Z247
Source: RefSeq, a predicted model, not a curated record